Molecule: ribosomal RNA, 600 nt
Filed under: uncultured Alphaproteobacteria bacterium
Lineage: Bacteria; Pseudomonadati; Pseudomonadota; Alphaproteobacteria
Description: bacterial SSU rRNA
Rfam family: Bacterial small subunit ribosomal RNA
Source: RNAcentral
CAUGCAAGUCGAACGAAGUAGCAAUACUUAGUGGCAGACGGGUGAGUAACAUGUAGGUAUCUGCCCUUUGGCCUGGAAUAACACGAGGAAACUUGUGCUAAUACCGGAUAAGUCUUUACGGAGAAAGCUUUAUGCACCAUUGGAUGAGCCUGCACUUGAUUAGUUUGUUGGUGGGGUAAUGGCCUACCAAGACUGUGAUCAAUAGCUGAUUUGAGAGGAUGAUCAGCCACAUUGGGACUGAGACACGGCCCAAACUCCUACGGGAGGCAGCAGUGGGGAAUCUUGCACAAUGGAGGAAACUCUGAUGCAGCGAUGCCGCGUGAGUGAAGAAGGCCCUUGGGUUGUAAAGCUCUUUCGUCGGGGAAGAAAAUGACUGUACCCGAAUAAGAAGGUCCGGCUAACUUCGUGCCAGCAGCCGCGGUAAUACGAAGGGACCUAGCGUAGUUCGGAAUUACUGGGCUUAAAGAGUUCGUAGGUGGUUGAAAAAGUUAGUGGUGAAAUCCCAGAGCUUAACUCUAGAACUGCCAUUAAAACUUUUCAGCUAGAGUAUGAUAGAGGAAAGCAGAAUUUCUAGUGUAGAGGUGAAAUUCGUAGAUAUUA